RNAcentral lists this ribosomal RNA (423 nucleotides) under uncultured bacterium. Its description in RNAcentral is "bacterial SSU rRNA". It matches the Rfam family "Bacterial small subunit ribosomal RNA", at positions 29 to 496 of the family's 1533-position model. The record is from RNAcentral.
AACGAACGCUGGCGGCAUGCCUAACACAUGCAAGUCGAACGCGUGUAGCAAUACACGAGUGGCGGACGGGUGAGUAACGCGUGGGAACCUGCCCAAUGGUAGGGAAUAACUGCGGGAAACUGCAGCUAAUACCCUAUGCUCCCUACGGGGGAAAGAUUUAUCGCCAUUGGAGGGGCCCGCGUCGGAUUAGCUAGUUGGCGGGGUAACGGCCCACCAAGGCUACGAUCCGUAGCUGGUCUGAGAGGAUGAUCAGCCACACUGGGACUGAGAUACGGCCCAGACUCCUACGGGAGGCAGCAGUGGGGAAUAUUGGACAAUGGGGGAAACCCUGAUCCAGCAAUGCCGCGUGAGUGAAGAAGGCCUUAGGGUUGUAAAGCUCUUUCGGCGGGACGAUGGUGACGGUACCCGCAGAAGAAGCCCCGG